UAUUUCUUGCCGCCGGGUAAGAAGUUAAGCGUUAGAUUUUCUAUCAUUAGGCCUUUGAAGAUAGAAAAUUCUGGCGCUAUUUUUUU
RNAcentral lists this non-coding RNA (86 nucleotides) under unclassified sequences. The record is from RNAcentral.